This 255-nucleotide ribosomal RNA is filed under the name uncultured bacterium. RNAcentral describes it as "partial 16S ribosomal RNA". It matches the Rfam family "Bacterial small subunit ribosomal RNA", at positions 524 to 776 of the family's 1533-position model. The record is from RNAcentral.
UACGUAGGGUGCGAGCGUUUGUCCGGAAUUAUUUGGGCGUAAAGGGCUCGUAGGCGGUUUGUCGCGUCGGGAGUGAAAUCCACUGGCUUAACUGGUGGCUUGCUUUCGAUACGGGCAGACUGGAGGUAUGCAGGGGAGAACGGAAUUCCUGGUGUAGCGGUGAAAUGCGCAGAUAUCAGGAGGAACACCGGUGGCGAAGGCGGUUCUCUGGACCAUUACUGACGCUGAGGCACGAAAGCUAGGGGAGCAAACAGG